RNAcentral lists this ribosomal RNA (305 nucleotides) under uncultured bacterium. RNAcentral's name for it is "bacterial SSU rRNA". It matches the Rfam family "Bacterial small subunit ribosomal RNA", at positions 333 to 652 of the family's 1533-position model. The record is from RNAcentral.
GUAUGCCUACGGGGGGCAGCAGUGGGGGAUAUUGCGCAAUGGGGGCAACCCUGACGCAGCAACGCCGCGUGCAGGAAGAAGGUCUUCGGAUUGUAAACUGUUGUCGCAGGGGAAGAAGACAGUGACGGUACCCUGUGAGAAAGUCACGGCUAACUACGUGCCAGCAGCCGCGGUAAUACGUAGGUGACAAGCGUUGUCCGGAUUUACUGGGUGUAAAGGGCGCGUAGGCGGGAUAGCAAGUCAGUCGGGAAAUGCCGAGGCUUAACCUCGGAGCUGCGGUUGAAACUGGUAUUCUUAAGUAUCGG